AUCAUGGGAAACUUCUUCAAGGCCACCAGUAUCUUCCCCUCUGCUUACUGUGGCAAAAAUCUCCACCUCCAGUUCGACCUGCAAGCCUGGCGCCACCUGGGAGAGACAGAGGAUCACUGACAGUUACCAGCAUGCACCUGCACCGGAAGCUGUUAAGGGAAAGGCAUUACAAGAGGCAUCCCUAUUAUACGGCUCCAUCGUAUGGGAAGCCCUGGGAGACUUAUAAACUGGCUGUCAGAAUUCCGGCACCUUCUCUGGAGCGCUGGCUGCUAUGAGAAACAGGACUUGAUUUUUGUCAGGAUGUCCCAACAGGUUCAGGCUAUGGUAUGGAUAAUUUGGAAGGCACACAGUUAACUACUGACACUGUCAUGGAAAAGUUUUGGCUUCAGCAUGAGGCAGAUGUGGCUCAGAAUUGCCCACCACUGGCCAUGCCCCUGCCCGAGCACGUUCUGCUUCACUCCGCAGCUGGUCACUUAGCUCUCCUCUCAACGCAUGAAGCGGAAGGCUUAAAAGGCUGAUCUAAAAAAACAGAAGCAUCUCUGCCAUCCCUCCUGAUGGAAGCAGCUGUACAGCAGUCUCUCAGCUGGUCUUGAACGGAUUUCGGAGGUACUCCCUAGAGUGGAGUACGCGGAAGAGAUCAUGAUGAUCCCAGUAAGGUAAGUCUGUGAGCUCCUCUUUUGGUGAUAAUUAGCCACCUGAAGAGGAGGAACAACAAAUGUCAGACGUAAAUGUUUAUUUCAUUGCACCACUGUGGCACCACAGUAAAGGGGUGCUGUGACUGCUGAGAUAGGUAGUGUCUCUGUGACACGUCUCCUGAGCCUUUUUCUAAAGGGGACAGCAAACUGCAGGUCCCCUGCAGCCAGAAAAGGGAAGGUGGGCAGGUGCUUGCUCAUGUGAGGAGAACACCAAAGAAACAGCACCCAGAAGGUGCAGCACAUCAGGUCCAAGAAUGUUUAAUGCCCUCCUUGCUGUUUUCCUUAACUAGUGCUAAUGCUGCAGGAAAAAAUAAAGACUACUGAUCACCAGUGCUAAGAGGAACCAGCUUUUGAACAAUCUAGACCAAGAUGCCAGUAGGGUGUUUAUUUCCAUGCAAUCAGUUAGCCUCCCUCUCCUGGGACCUGUGCAUCCAGCAGAAAAAAGACAAAUGGAUGACACUGGUCUAAAUAGCAGCUUCCCAUUAACUGCUAAAUAAGCCAAGAACCUCUCCAGCUGCCGGAGGUAACUGAGGAUAGGUGGGCACAAGAGGCUGACUUUGGAAAACUUCGGUGGGAAUAGCUGUUUUGGAACACAGCUUGGGUCUGGCUUUGGGGCUUUUGAGCCAUCUGAAAUGACACGUUCCCACCAAGUACUGCAGUUCCAGAAAACAUCUGGUGGGAUUAUAACCAUUUAAAUUCAGCUGGUUUGAAGUGACAGACCUUACGUGGAAGCCCAGAAGCUCAAAGGGCUUACAGACUGUUGUUGCUGGCUCUCCUUUGAGCUAAAAAGCAAGGUACAUCAUAUACAGCAAGGUACAUCAUAUAUAGCAAGCGCGGCUGAGCAAACGGAGUGGGAGCAGUAUGCCCUGCCCUCCUUUCUGUCACACGUAUGGCACCUGGGGGACAGAUGUCCUAAGCACACCUGCCUGAUACAGCUAAUGUAAAACUGCUGCAAUGGUGCUGGUGCCAGACUGACUGACUGACCACAUGUGCAGUCACUCAGAAGAGGAAUUCUAGUACAAUCACAAGCAUUUUCUUGCUGUAUUUAUAUAUUCCUUAAACCACAGCUGGGCAUGGUACUUUCCUGUGAUUUGUCAUGCAGGGCAUGAGAUGAUCUGCUGGACUGCAGAGCUACAGAUGGACUUACUUCUCCUCGCCCUUUGGAACGCAGUGCAGUGCUAUUCUGCCCCCGCACUGACAGUGGUGACGCUAAUGAAGGGAAACGUGUGCACACACAAAUGCUUUAUUUCAUCCUCAUCCCCUGCUUGUUCCCAGUGGCAUCCCUGGAGCUGUUUCUCGAUGCAGCUGCCUGAAUACAGCUCUGCCUGUUUAGCCUGACUUGCAGUGUCCAGCACCACCUCCCAUGCCAAGUGUAACACUCGUUACCAUGAAAGACUUUGGUCCCUGAACAUGUGAACUUCAAUAAGAACCAGUAAAUCAUCUGUGACGGGCCAGGACUAUGCAAACAGCACCUGCUGGUCCUUCCUGCAAACAUGCACUAAUAUGCAAACAACGCUAAAGUAUUUCUAAUACUAUCUCCUCUAUCUAGUCGGUCAUUAUCAAAUUAUUCCAAACAUAAAAAUACCAUUUUUAAUCUCAUGCUAAUCAGAUCAAAAGGUUGACAAUUAACAAACAAUGCAUCUUUGGACAGUUAAAACCCAAGGUACU
This is a long non-coding RNA of Falco peregrinus (peregrine falcon), 2363 nucleotides long. RefSeq lists it as uncharacterized. The record is from RefSeq and is a predicted model, not a curated record. Lineage: Eukaryota; Metazoa; Chordata; Aves; Falconiformes; Falconidae. The transcript has 3 exons.